AGCGAGCUUGCCUAGAUGAUUUUAGUGCUUGCACUAAAUGAAACUAGAUACAAGCGAGCGGCGGACGGGUGAGUAACACGUGGGUAACCUGCCCAAGAGACUGGGAUAACACCUGGAAACAGAUGCUAAUACCGGAUAACAACACUAGACGCAUGUCUAGAGUUUGAAAGAUGGUUCUGCUAUCACUCUUGGAUGGACCUGCGGUGCAUUAGCUAGUUGGUAAGGUAACGGCUUACCAAGGCAAUGAUGCAUAGCCGAGUUGAGAGACUGAUCGGCCACAUUGGGACUGAGACACGGCCCAAACUCCUACGGGAGGCAGCAGUAGGGAAUCUUCCACAAUGGACGAAGGUCUGAUGGAGCAACGCCGCGUGAGUGAAGAAGGGUUUCGGCUCGUAAAGCUCUGUUGGUAGUGAAGAAAGAUAGAGGUAGUAACUGGCCUUUAUUUGACGGUAAUUACUUAGAAAGUCACGGCUAACUACGUGCCAGCAGCCGCGGUAAUACGUAGGUGGCAAGCGUUGUCCGGAUUUAUUGGGCGUAAAGCGAGUGCAGGCGGUUCAAUAAGUCUGAUGUGAAAGCCUUCGGCUCAACCGGAGAAUUGCAUCAGAAACUGUUGAACUUGAGUGCAGAAGAGGAGAGUGGAACUCCAUGUGUAGCGGUGGAAUGCGUAGAUAUAUGGAAGAACACCAGUGGCGAAGGCGGCUCUCUGGUCUGCAACUGACGCUGAGGCUCGAAAGCAUGGGUAGCGAACAGGAUUAGAUACCCUGGUAGUCCAUGCCGUAAACGAUGAGUGCUAAGUG
This 797-nucleotide ribosomal RNA is filed under the name uncultured bacterium. RNAcentral describes it as "bacterial SSU rRNA". It matches the Rfam family "Bacterial small subunit ribosomal RNA", at positions 52 to 822 of the family's 1533-position model. The record is from RNAcentral.